UAAUAGUGUAUAUUAAAGUUGUUGCAGUUAAAAAGCUCGUAGUUGAAUGUUGGUGUCGAACGAGCGGUCAGCUUCGGCUGUACUGCUCUCUCGACUCCUUCCUUCUGUGGACUACGUCGCACUUUACUGUGUGGCGCUAGGACGCAGAUCGUUUACUGUGAAAAAAUUAGAGUGUUCAAAGCAGGCCGUACGCUUGAAUACAUUAGCAUGGAAUAAUGGAAUAGGACGUCGGGCCUAUUUUGUUGGUUCUAGGACCGUCGUAAUGAUUAAUAGGGACAGUUGGGGCCGUUUAUAUUCCGUAGUCAGAGGUGAAAUUCUUGGAUUUACGGAAGAUAAACUACUGCGAAAGCAUUCGGCAAGGAUGUUUUCGUUGA
This 374-nucleotide ribosomal RNA is filed under the name uncultured eukaryote. Its description in RNAcentral is "partial 18S ribosomal RNA". It matches the Rfam family "Eukaryotic small subunit ribosomal RNA", at positions 592 to 976 of the family's 1831-position model. The record is from RNAcentral.